RNAcentral lists this ribosomal RNA (465 nucleotides) under uncultured bacterium. RNAcentral describes it as "partial 16S ribosomal RNA". It matches the Rfam family "Bacterial small subunit ribosomal RNA", at positions 29 to 507 of the family's 1533-position model. The record is from RNAcentral.
AUGAACGCUGGCGGCGUGCUUAACACAUGCCAGUCGCACGGAAAGGCUCCUGCUUGCAGGGGUACUCGAGUGGCGAACGGGUGAGUAACACGUGGGUGAUCUGCCCUGCACUUCGGGAUAAGCCUGGGAAACUGGGUCUAAUACCGGAUAGGACGAUGGUUUGGAUGCCAUUGUGGAAAGUUUUUUCGGUGUGGGAUGAGCUCGCGGCCUAUCAGCUUGUUGGUGGGGUAAUGGCCUACCAAGGCGUCGACGGGUAGCCGGCCUGAGAGGGUGUACGGCCACAUUGGGACUGAGAUACGGCCCAGACUCCUACGGGAGGCAGCAGUGGGGAAUAUUGCACAAUGGGCGCAAGCCUGAUGCAGCGACGCCGCGUGGGGGAUGACGGCCUUCGGGUUGUAAACUCCUUUCGCUAGGGACGAAGCGCAAGUGACGGUACCUGGAGAAGAAGCACCGGCUAACUACGUG